Non-coding RNA from Caenorhabditis elegans, 21 nucleotides. Lineage: Eukaryota; Metazoa; Nematoda; Chromadorea; Rhabditida; Rhabditidae. The record is from Ensembl.
UUUUGUUACAGAGUAUAAACA